This 233-nucleotide ribosomal RNA is filed under the name uncultured bacterium. RNAcentral's name for it is "partial 16S ribosomal RNA". It matches the Rfam family "Bacterial small subunit ribosomal RNA", at positions 118 to 351 of the family's 1533-position model. The record is from RNAcentral.
UGAGCAACCUACCGAAAUGAGGGGGAUAGCCGGCCCAACGGCCGGGUAAUACCGCAUACGCUCGAGACCAGGCAUUUGGACUCGAGGAAACCUCCGGGGCAUUUCGAGGGGCUCGCGGCCUAUCAGCUUGUUGGUGGGGUAAUGGCCUACCAAGGCGACGACGGGUAGCCGGCCUGAGAGGGCGACCGGCCACACUGGGACUGAGACACGGCCCAGACUCCUACGGGAGGCAG